This 457-nucleotide ribosomal RNA is filed under the name Desmognathus quadramaculatus (black-bellied salamander). RNAcentral's name for it is "partial 16S ribosomal RNA". The stretch from base 153 to 457 matches the Rfam family "Bacterial large subunit ribosomal RNA", at positions 568 to 1029 of the family's 2925-position model. Lineage: Eukaryota; Metazoa; Chordata; Amphibia; Caudata; Plethodontidae. The record is from RNAcentral.
AUCUUAAAUCUAGCUUAAAUAUAAAAAACUACCCCUUAAUACACAAAACAUUAUUUUAUGAUAGUACGGGCGACAGAAAACCUAUUAGCGCAAUAGAAAAAGUACUGUAAAGGAAAGAUGAAAUAAAAAUGAAAUAAAAUUAAAAUAUAAAAAAGCAAAGACUAAAACUUUUACCUUUAGCAUAAUGAUCUAGCCAGUCUAUAUUAACAAAAAGAAUUUUAGUUAUAUACCCCGAAACCAAACGAGCUACCCUAAGACAGCAACAUAUGAGCAAACUCUUCUCUGUAGCAAAAGAGUGAGAAGAGCUUUUGGUAGAGGCGAAAAACCUAACGAGCUUGGAUAUAGCUGGUUACUUGAGAAUGAAUUUUAGUUCAAUUAAAAGAAUAAAUAUUACAAAAACAAACGCUUUUAUUAUAAUUAACUGAGGUACAGCCCAGUUAAUAAAGGAAACAACCUA